Molecule: long non-coding RNA, 3507 nt
Organism: Heterocephalus glaber (naked mole-rat)
Lineage: Eukaryota; Metazoa; Chordata; Mammalia; Rodentia; Bathyergidae
Source: Ensembl
CUCCAAAGUCCUGUUUGCUGUCUGCUCUAGAGUCACUGCUUCAGGAACCUAUAGGACUUUUCUCCCGCAUGAAGAUCUUCAGUAUGGUCAAUUCAGACCUCAGAUUUAUACAAGCAAAUCUUGGUGAGCACUUCCCUAUGGAACAGUGAGGUGCUACUUUUCGGAUUUGGCAAACCAAUCCCUACAUUGCACAUGGACUACACAAAUAUGCCAGCAGGACUCUCCCAGAUGAUGACUGUCUUAGUAGACAUAAGCUGGGGACAGACCAGAGAAGCGCUUCACGAGUGUCUUCCCUAUAACAAGGACACCUGGCCCUAGGGCAAACCCCUGAGCACUGGGCCACUCAACAGGAUAAAGAUUAACCCCAUGAAAGCUGCAUUGUAAAUCUGCACAACUAACUCUCUGGAGUCCAGUCAAGGGCAGAGCUUGAACUUAUAGCCAUUUUCAUGAAUGAUAUGCCAAGACUAAACCAGUGAGCAACACGUGUAAGAACAGAGCUGUAGGAAUCACAAUCCCUGACUUCAAAAUGUACUGCAGAGCUGCAGUAAUCAAGUGUAUCAUACUGGGAUAAAAACACACAUAUAGACUAAGGAAUCAGAAUAGAGACCCUGAAACCAGCUCAUGCAAACAGUCAAGUGUCUUCACAAAGUGUGGUAGAACACACGUGUGGACAUGAUUCAGUAACCACCAUUGCGAGGACCAUGCCUAUGUGGCUGAAGAGUGGGAUCAAGUCCUGCCUGACAUCGUAUACAGAAAGCAACACAAAAGGAAUUAAGAUUAAACACUGACCGUGAAACGAUCGAAGUUUUGGAAGAAAACAGGAAAUGCUUCUAGGCAUUAGACUAGAAAAUGAUAUUUUUGGAUAUAAUACUAAAACAAGCAAUAAGAGCAAAACACAGGAAGUAAUGUUUCUUCACAGCAAAGGAGACAACAAAAUGAAGACAUCUUAUGGAAUGGUUAAAAAUAUUUUCAUACCAUUUUAUCUGAUAAGAGUUUAAUAUGCAAAAUUUAUAAGACAUUCUUUUAAUUCAACAACAGAAUGAAUAACCCCCCAAAAAGAAAAGAGGACUUAAAUUGCCAUUUCUCCAAAGAAGACACACAAAAGGCCAUCAUGUACAUGCAAAGGUAUUCAGCAUCACUAAUCAUCUGGGAAAUACAAUUCAUAGUCACAGUAAGUCAUUACUUACACAUGCCAGGAUGAUGACUUAAAAAAAAAACACAGCAAGUGUUGGGGAGGACAUGGAGAGAAGGAAACUUAUCCUAUUGGCAGGAAUACAACUGGCAUAGUCACUAUGGAAAACACAACUGUCUCUGAAUGAAAGAUUAACAGUAAACAUUUCACCAGGCUAGAAAAGAGCUUUCCCACCUUGAAAAAUGUCAUCUAUAAAAAGUCUACAGCUACUGCAAUGCUUAAGGGAGAAAUAAUGGUGUCUCCUAAGACCAAGAAUGGCAUAGUUGGGUGCAUCUAGUUAACAAAAAUGUGUUGCUUAUGUUGUUUAUUUCAAAGUAGCUAAAAGAGAGGGUUUUGCAUGUGCUCAUUACAGAGAAGUUAUAAUAGCUGAAGGUGACAGCCAUGCUGAUUUUCCCGAUUUGAUCAUUACCUAAUAUACAGACAAAUCAAAAUAUCAUAUUGUACCUCAUACAUAUGCACAAUAAUUAUUUCAAUAAAAAUUUAAUUUAAAUAAAGAAAAAGAGAGGAUGUUAUGUAACCCCUUUUCAUAUAAUUUUUUUGGAAGUUACAGGCUACGUGCAAUAAGCCAAGAAAAAGAAAUAAAAGGCACAGAGGAGGAAUGAUUAAAACAUUUUUAUUGGAAAAAAUGUUUGAUCAUAUACACAGACAUUUUUAAAUCUUCAAAUUAACAGUUAUAGUAGCAGCUACUAGAACUAGUAAAUAAAUUUGUUAAGGUCACAAUACAUAUCUCCAAAAUAAAAAAAAAUGGAUAGUACUUCUAUAGACAAACAACAAUUUUUUAAAUAUUGUAAUAUGCUUUAUUUAUAACAUCCAAAGAAUGAAGUAAAUAAGUAUACAUUUAACAAAAUAUAUUCAACUCCAAGUGAAGAAGGCUAGAAGAAAUAAAGAUAGAAAGAAGACAAAGAAAAUUAUAAUUUUAAAAUCAUAUUUAAAACAACACUACACUUUACAGUUUUUUCUCCAGGCUAGUCAUUAUUAAAUUCCUAAGUCUUAAAAAAUAUUCAGGGGCUGUGCAUUUCUCCUUUCUCCUGUGCCUUCCAUCUGUGCAUGGGCCAUGGUCUGUUACCUGUCAACUGAGUCCCUGUUUUCUAUAAAUUCACAAAUUCCAUAGAUUUCUGUCCCCCAAACACAUAAAAUAUACCCAACUCCAGGGUAUAAGGUCUCCUGUCUGUCUGUCUCUCCCUCCCUCUCUCACUCCCUCCUUCCAUAUUCUAUUCUCUCUAAAGGGUGUACUUCAUUAUUUCUAUUAGACAUUUUUAUGCUUCUCACUGAUAUACCCUGGAAGUUCUCUUUGGAUGGUGACAGUUGGGGAGCCUAUAACUUAUUACAUGAGUUGGUGAGUUGAGGCCCCCAUUUUCUCUUUGGGGACUCUCGUUGGCUCCAUCUGGUAACCAGAAGCCAAAACCUAAAAUACAUUGGGAAAAGUAUAAACACCCAAAAAACAAGGAGAGAUAUAUCACAUUUGUUGAUUGAAAUAUUCAAAGUUGUUAUGAUAUUACUUAUUACCUAAUUGAGCUAUAGAUUUGUGACAAUCCUAACAUUAAUUCAAGAAGCUUUCUAGUAAAUAUUUACCUGCAAAGAGUCUUAACCAAAUCAUUCAAAAUAUUGAUAGACUAUCAGAUUUCAAAAUAUACGGUAAAGCCAUAGUAAACACAACAAUGUGGUAUUGAGAGUAGACACCUAGACCAACAGAAUCAAACAAAAACUCAAGAAAUAGACUCAUAAGUAUGCUCAGCUGAUUUUAAUAAUUAUCCAAUACAAUUUAACAGUAAAGGAAAGCUUUCUCAGUAACUGCUGAUUAAAUACGUGGAUAUCAAUAUUGGAAAAAUGGAAUAAACUUUUCAUGGUGUGUAAAAAAUUAACUUCAAAUAGACAUGAAAUGCUUGUAAAAGAAAAUGUAGGAGGAAAUUUUUUUGACUAUGGGAUAAGCAGAUAAACUAUAUAGAAGAAAAAAAUCGUAAGUAAUCAAAGAAAAAUAUUUAAUUAGGAUUUAUAAAAUUUGAAAUCUUAAGACUUUUGUUCUUUGAAUUUGUGUACAAGACAAAAACAGAAGAACCAGGUAAUGAAAAAAUAUAAACCCCACUGGUAUAUUACUAGGUAUUUAUCCAAAAUAAAUGAAACACAGAUACACACAAAUCUUCUACUUGCCUUUCCAGUUUCUUUAUUCUUUAUAGUCAAAAAAAUAGAAAACAAAUAUGCAACAAAAAGUGAAUACUAUAUAAAUCAGUAAACUAUUAUUUAUACAACACACGCCAUUCAGAUGGAAGGCACUCAGACUGAAUUCAGUGAUAAAACUGCAUAUCCUGCUUUUAAUA